This 746-nucleotide long non-coding RNA is filed under the name Solanum tuberosum (potato). RNAcentral describes it as "long non-coding RNA (STUB_LNC004042)". Lineage: Eukaryota; Viridiplantae; Streptophyta; Magnoliopsida; Solanales; Solanaceae. The record is from RNAcentral.
CCCUCCUCCCUUCUUCCAUUAGGAUGUCAAUCCUCUAAUACAAUGAUGAAAGUAACGUACUAUUUGUUGAUCGAUGAGCAAUUAUUCUUGGAUGUACCUUCAUAUUUCACUGCCAAAUAACAAUUUAGUUUUUUCAAGGCCCACCUUUCUCUCAAUACGCCAAGUCUUAUUUUGCUCUUAAUUACAUGAGUAACUAAGGAGAAACAUAGUAUAGGUUGAGGUUUAUGACUAGCUAUGUAUACAGCAUACAGGUCUUGCCGUCUUGGUCGACAAACAUAAUUGUAGGAGAUUCUAAUUGACAUUUUUGAAGAGACAAAGAGCAAUUUAGGUUGUCACUUGUUUAACUUCUUUCAGCUCCAACAACAAUUCAAAAUUAUAAAGAAGACUAUGAUUAAUUCAUAGAUUUCACAAUUCAUAUUGCAAAAAAUGAUUAAUUCUAAAGUUGAAAAGCCAAUACUAAUUGUUACUGCAAUUUUACCCACCUUAAUCUUGAGCUCAUAAUUUUUUUGUAAGAAAAAGUUUCAGAUAUCAAAUCAGAUAAAACACUAAUUUCCUUAAUCAAAAAAUUAGAUAAAAAUAAUAGAAUUCAAAAAUAAAAAACAUGAUCGAAGCCUGUAAAAAGAAGAUGGAAGAGGGCUGAAAAGAAAGUAUACCUCUGCCUCGAAUAAAAUAAUGGAUAACAAAAAUCAAAAUUUGACAUAAUUUGAGCAAAAAUUACUCCAAUAUGAGCUCCUCUAUGAUUUUUC